GAAUUUUGGACAAUGGGCGAAAGCCUGAUCCAGCAAUGCCGCGUGCAGGAUGAAGGCCUUCGGGUUGUAAACUGCUUUUGUACGGACCGAAAAGCUCUCGGUUAAUACCCUGGAGUCAUGACGGUACCGCAAGAAUACACCCCGGCCACCCACGUGCCAGACGCCGCGGUAAUACGUAGGGUCCAAGCGUUAAUCGGAAUUACUGGGCGUAAAGCGUGCGCAGGCGGUUUUGUAAGACAGAGGUGAAAUCCCCGGGCUCAACCUGGGAACUGCCUUUGUGACUGCAAGGCUAGAGGACGGCAGAGGGGGGUGGAAUUCCGCGUGUAGCAGUGAAAUGCGUAGAUAUGCGGAGGAACACCGAUGGCGAAGGCAACCCCCUGGGCCUGUACUGACGCUCAUGCACGAAAGCGUGGGGAGCAAACA
RNAcentral lists this ribosomal RNA (423 nucleotides) under uncultured bacterium. RNAcentral's name for it is "partial 16S ribosomal RNA". It matches the Rfam family "Bacterial small subunit ribosomal RNA", at positions 359 to 774 of the family's 1533-position model. The record is from RNAcentral.